AGAGUUUGAUCCUGGCUCAGGACGAACGCUGGCGGCAUGCCUAAUACAUGCAAGUCGAGCGAACAAUUUAAGGAGCUUGCUUCUUAAAUUGUUAGCGGCGGAUGGGUGAGUAACACGUGGGCAACCUACCUUACAGAUGGGGAUAACUCCGGGAAACCGGGGCUAAUACCGAAUAAUCCAUUUCUUCGCAUGAAGAGAUGUUGAAAGACGGUUUCGGCUGUCACUGUGAGAUGGGCCCGCGGCGCAUUAGUUAGUUGGUGGGGUAACGGCUCACCAAGGCGACGAUGCGUAGCCGACCUGAGAGGGUGAUCGGCCACACUGGGACUGAGACACGGCCCAGACUCCUACGGGAGGCAGCAGUAGGGAAUCUUCCACAAUGGGCGAAAGCCUGAUGGAGCAACGCCGCGUGAGUGAAGAAGGAUUUCGGUUCGUAAAACUCUGUUGUAAGGGAAGAACAAGUACAGUAGUAACUGGCUGUACCUUGACGGUACCUUAUUAGAAAGCCACGGCUAACUACGUGCCAGCAGCCGCGGUAAUACGUAGGUGGCAAGCGUUGUCCGGAAUUAUUGGGCGUAAAGCGCGCGCAGGUGGUUUCUUAAGUCUGAUGUGAAAGCCCACGGCUCAACCGUGGAGGGUCAUUGGAAACUGGGAGACUUGAGUGCAGAAGAGGAUAGUGGAAUUCCAAGUGUAGCGGUGAAAUGCGUAGAGAUUUGGAGGAACACCAGUGGCGAAAGCGACUGUCUGGUCUGUAACUGACACUGAGGCGCGAAAGCGUGGGGAGCAAACAGGAUUAGAUACCCUGGUAGUCCACGCCGUAAACGAUGAGUGCUAAGUGUUAGGGGGUUUCCGCCCCUUAGUGCUGCAGCUAACGCAUUAAGCACUCCGCCUGGGGAGUACGGUCGCAAGACUGAAACUCAAAGGAAUUGACGGGGGCC
This 935-nucleotide ribosomal RNA is filed under the name uncultured bacterium. Its description in RNAcentral is "bacterial SSU rRNA". It matches the Rfam family "Bacterial small subunit ribosomal RNA", at positions 8 to 921 of the family's 1533-position model. The record is from RNAcentral.